UAAACUAUUCAGGUUCCGCGUUGG
This 24-nucleotide non-coding RNA is filed under the name Arabidopsis thaliana (thale cress). The record is from RNAcentral. Lineage: Eukaryota; Viridiplantae; Streptophyta; Magnoliopsida; Brassicales; Brassicaceae.